GUUGUGGCUCAGUGGUAAUGUACUUGCCUAGCAUGCUUGAGGCACUGGGUUCGAUUCUCAGCAUCACA
This 68-nucleotide transfer RNA is filed under the name Marmota monax (woodchuck). RNAcentral describes it as "tRNA.Ala". Lineage: Eukaryota; Metazoa; Chordata; Mammalia; Rodentia; Sciuridae. The record is from RNAcentral.